Long non-coding RNA from Mauremys reevesii (Reeves's turtle), 402 nucleotides. RefSeq lists it as uncharacterized. The transcript is spliced from 2 exons. Lineage: Eukaryota; Metazoa; Chordata; Testudines; Geoemydidae. The record is from RefSeq and is a predicted model, not a curated record.
ACAGCAAUGAGAUGACAGGAAAAUAAUUUCUAGGAUGGCACAAUGCAAGCCCUUGGGGAUAGCCCGGCAUCAUAUUGCCUGUCCGUAGCAAUUUUAUCGGCUACAUUAACAAAUCCACGACCCCGUACAUUAAUAGACAACACUGUCACCAGCUAAACAGCUGAACCCUCAUCUUAAUUCUAACCCUAAUGCAGUUCCCCAAGAGUGAAAUUCACGCCGUGCAGUGGGCCAGCAAAAGACCUCUGCCCUACCUACCUCGGAACCAUAAGAAGGAGGUAGCUCUGAUUCAACUUGGCUGGACCCUAACAGGACAUAUCCAGCCAAUGCCGCAGUUUGCAGGAAAUAAUCCCUGAUUAAAAGUGAUCUGUUUAUGAAAACUCUCAUAAGCAGCAAAUCAACUGA